CGCCAUCGAAUGAGGCAAGACUACCCGCUGAACUUAAGCAUAUCACUAAGCGGAGGAGAAGAAACUAACCAGGAUGCCCCUAGUAAUGGCGAAUGAAGCGGGCUGAGCUCACGCUGCCAAUCUGGAGGCCUCGCGUAUGCAGCGCCCCCCGAAUUGUGGUCUAGAGAGGCGUUAUCGGCCGUGCCCGCCGCUCAAGUCCCUUGGAACAGGGUGUCGGAGAGGGUGAGAAUCCCGUACCGUGGCGGGUUGCGGCCUUACGAUGCGUUCUCGUCGAGUCGGGUUGCUUGGGAUUGCAGCUUGAAUUGGGUGGUAAAUUCCAUCUAAAGCUAAAUACUGGCGAGAGACCGAUAGCGAACAAGUACCGUGAGGGAAAGAUGCAAAGAACUUUGAAAAGAGAGUCAAAGAGUGCUUGAAAUCGGUAGGAGGAAACCCGGAUGGGCCCGGCUUCGGCGCGCCGACUCAGCCUGGGGUUCUCCCCAGGUGCACUUCUGCGCGCCGGGUCAGCCGCGCCUCGGCGCCGCGCCUCAACCCGGGAGCGGGGCUUUACGGCCAGCUCCCGUCCUGGCGCGGCCCGGGGCCCGGCUGACGGAACGGGCCCCUCCGACCCGUCUAGAAACACGGACCAAGGAGUCUGACACGUGUGCGAGUACCCGGGUGGCAAGCCCGCGUGCGGAAUGAAAGUGAAGGGCAUGCCCUGCCAACCGACCUUGACCUGCUGUGAGGGGUUUGAGUGGAGCACACCUGUCGGGACCCGAAAGAUGGUGAACUAUGCCUGGGUAGGGUGAAGCCAGAGGAAACUCUGGUGGAGGCUCGUAGCGAUACUGACGUGCAAAUCGUUCGUCGAAUCUGGGUAUAGGGGCGAAAGACUAAUCGAACCAUCUAGUAGCUGGUUCCCUCCGAAGUUUCCCUCAGGAUAGCUUGAACGCAACGGUUUUGUCAGGUAAAGCGAAUGAUUAGAGGCCUGUGGGCUGAAACAGCUUGCACCUAUUCUCAAACUUUAAAUGGGCAAGAGGCCCGGGAUGCUUGAGUGAUCCCGGGCGGCGAACGGCGCGUUCAAAGUGGGCCAUUUUUGGUAAGCAGAACUGGCGAUGCGGGAUGAACCGAACGCCGCGCUAAGGUACCCAAGUGUCCGCUCAUCAGAUACCACAAAAGGCGUUGGUACCUCCAGACAGCAGGACGGUGGCCAUGGAAGUCGGAACCCGCUAAGGAGUGUGUAACAACUCACCUGCCGAAGGUACUAGCCCUGAAAAUGGAUGGCGCUCAAGCGGACCACCGAUGCGCGGCCGCCGGCGCGAGCGCGAGGCGCCGGCGAGUAGGAGGGCGCGGGGCUCGCGGCGCAGCCUUGGGCGCGAGCCUGGGUGAAGCGGGCCCCGGUGCAGAUCUUGGUGGUAGUAGCAAAUAUUCAAAUGAGAACUUUGAAGACUGAAGUGGAGAAAGGUUCCGUGUGAACAGCAGUUGGACACGGGUGAGCCGACCCUAAGAGACAGGAAAACUCCGCCGAACGCGGCUGGUUCUGUCAGCCCGUCCGUCGAAAGGGAAUCGGGUUAAUAUUCCCGAGCCAGCGCGUGGAUGGUGGGCGGCGACGCGAACGAACCCGGAGACGCCGGCGGGAGCCCUGGGAAGAGUUCUCUUUUCUUCUUAACUGCCUCCUGCCCUGGAAUCGGUUUAGCCGGAGCGAGGGCUACACGGCAGGCAAAGCACCCUAAGUCUUGGGGUGUCCGGCGCGCUCCCGACGGCCCGUGAAAAUCCGGGGGAGCGGUUCGUUCUCACGCCUGGUCGUACUCAUAACCGCAUCAGGUCUCCAAGGUGAACAGCCUCUAGUCGAUAGAGCAAUGUAGGUAAGGGAAGUCGGCAAAAUGGUUCCGCAACCUCGGGAGAAGGAAUGGCUCUGAAGGCUGGGCGCAGGGGUCCUAGGCUCGAGGCCGGCUGGCUGCGCGGGGACUACGGCCUCACGGCUGCGGAUCCCGCGCGGCCGUCCGGCGGACGGCCUAGGAGCGCUCCGGCUCUCCCUGCGCGACGAACAGCCGCUUCAGAACUGGCGCGGACAAGGGGAAUCCGACUGUUUAAUUAAAACAAAGCAUUGCGAUGGCCCGCGAGGGUGCUGACGCAAUGUGAUUUCUGCCCAGUGCUCUGAAUGUCAAAGUGAAGAAAUUCAACCAAGCGCGGGUAAACGGCGGGAGUAACUAUGACUCUCUUAAGGUAGCCAAAUGCCUCGUCAUCCAAUUAGUGACGCGCAUGAAUGGAUUCGUGAGAUUCCCACUGUCCCUAUCUACUGUCUAGCGAAACCACAGCCAAGGGAACGGGCUUGGAAGAAUCAGCGGGGAAAGAAGACCCUGUUGAGCUUGACUCUAGUCUGUUACUGUGGAACGACUUGAUGGGUGUAGAAUAUGCGGGAGGGGCAACCCGACAGUGAAAUACCGCAACCGUCAACGUUGUUUUACUUACUCGGUGGCGCGGAGGGAGGCUCGCCUCACUUCUGGAUCCAAGCCGCUUCGUGCGCGCGAUCCGCGUCGGGGACACUAACAGGUGGGGAGUUUGGCUGGGGCGGCACGUCUGUUAAAAAAUAACGCAGGCGCCCGAUUUUGAGCUCAAUGAGAACAGAAAUCUCAUGUGGACCGAAAGGGGAAAAGCUCGGUUGAUUUUGAUUUUCAGUACGAAUACAAACCGCGAAAGCGUGGCCUAUCGAUCCUCUCGUCUUUGGGAAUUUCAAGCUAGAGGUGUCAGAAAAGUUACCACAGGGAUAACUGGCUUGUGGCUGCCAAGCGUUCAUAGCGACGUAGCUUUUUGAUCCUUCGAUGUCGGCUCUUCCUAUCACUGCCUCGCAGCGGGGGCCAAAUGCAGGAUUGUUCACCCACCAACAGGGAACGUGAGCUGGGUUUAGACCGUCGUGAGACAGGUUAGUUUUACCCUACUGCUGUCUGUUUUUCUACGGUAAUUUGGUUCAGUACGAGAGGAACCACCAAUUCGCAUCAUCGGUAUAGCCGCCGCCGGAAACGGCGAUGCGGCGAAGCUGCCAUGCGCCGGAUUAUAACUGAACGCCUCUAAGUUAGAAUCCAUGCCGGAAGGAAAGCCACCUACCGGCCCGGGGACGCCACGAGCAACGGUAGCACUGCCUGAGCCGCGAGCGACCACAAUUCACGGACCCGGGCCGACGAAUCCCUUGCAGACGACUUGAAUAAGGAACGGGGUAUUGUACGCGGCAGAGUGGCCUUGUUGCCACGAUCCGCUGAGAUUCAGCCUUGGUUCUGACGAUUUGU
Molecule: non-coding RNA, 3257 nt
Organism: Emiliania huxleyi CCMP1516
Lineage: Eukaryota; Haptophyta; Isochrysidales; Noelaerhabdaceae
Source: Rfam